CAACCUGCCCACCACUUGGGGAUAACCUUGCGAAAGUAAGACUAAUACCCAAUGACGUUUCUAGAAGACAUCUGAAAGGGAUUAAAGAUUUAUCGGUGAUGGAUGGGGAUGCGUCUGAUUAGCUUGUUGGCGGGGUAACGGCCCACCAAGGCGACGAUCAGUAGGGGUUCUGAGAGGAAGGUCCCCCACAUUGGAACUGAGACACGGUCCAAACUCCUACGGGAGGCAGCAGUGAGGAAUAUUGGUCAAUGGGCGAGAGCCUGAACCAGCCAAGUAGCGUGCAGGAUGACGGCCCUAUGGGUUGUAAACUGCUUUUAUAAGGGAAUAAAGUGAGUCUCGUGAGACUUUUUGCAUGUACCUUAUGAAUAAGGACCGGCUAAUUCCGUGCCAGCAGCCGCGGUAAUACGGAAGGUCCGGGCGUUAUCCGGAUUUAUUGGGUUUAAAGGGAGCGUAGGCCGGAGAUUAAGCGUGUUGUGAAAUGUAGACGCUCAACGUCUGCACUGCAGCGCGAACUGGUUUCCUUGAGUACGCACAAAGUGGGCGGAAUUCGUGGUGUAGCGGUGAAAUGCUUAGAUAUCACGAAGAACUCCGAUUGCGAAGGCAGCUCACUGGAGCGCAACUGACGCUGAAGCUCGAAAGUGCGGGUAUCGAACAGGAUUAGAUACCCUGGUAGUCCGCACGGUAAACGAUGGAUGCCCGCUGUUGGUCUGAACAGGUCAGCGGUCAAGCGAAAGCAUUAAGCAUCCCACCUGGGGAGUA
Molecule: ribosomal RNA, 759 nt
Filed under: uncultured bacterium
Lineage: Bacteria
Description: bacterial SSU rRNA
Rfam family: Bacterial small subunit ribosomal RNA
Source: RNAcentral